Molecule: long non-coding RNA, 387 nt
Organism: Mercenaria mercenaria
Lineage: Eukaryota; Metazoa; Mollusca; Bivalvia; Venerida; Veneridae
Exons: 2
Source: RefSeq, a predicted model, not a curated record
ACAUGAUGGGAGGCUGUGAGCAUAGUCCCAGAGGGGACUCUUUAUCUGAAGUCGAGGUUACCAUGAUGUUAACGUCUGACUAUGAAAUAAAUAAGAUAAUGUACCUAUCAUUAGUAGCAAACGUGAUGGAUACUCCUCUUCAGUUAGAUAAUCAUAGGGUGACACAGUACGUGUUUAGUAAAGACUGGUUUCAUUAAACUUGAUUCUGACAAUUUCACCUCAAAUCGUGUUUUAGGCUAAGCGCACAUUGACCUUGACCUGAUCAUGUAUCAAUAGCACCAAUGUUGUAAGUCCUCUAAAAUAUCAUGGAUAUAAACAUUUUGAAUAAGUUUCAUAAAGACUAGAUUAAAUCUGUGGUCUAAGGAGUGUUAACGCAUUCCUAAGAUA